This 73-nucleotide transfer RNA is filed under the name Intestinibacter bartlettii. RNAcentral's name for it is "tRNA-Glu". It matches the Rfam family "tRNA". From Rfam's summary of the family: Transfer RNA (tRNA) molecules are approximately 80 nucleotides in length. The record is from RNAcentral. RNAcentral also lists the same sequence under 1 other name. Lineage: Bacteria; Bacillati; Bacillota; Clostridia; Peptostreptococcales; Peptostreptococcaceae.
GGCUUCGUGGUCAAAUGGUUAAGACACCACUCUUUCAAGGUGGGAUUGAUGGGUUCGAUUCCCUCCGAAGUCA